UACGUAGGUGGCGAGCGUUGUCCGGAAUCACUGGGCGUAAAGGGCGCGUAGGCGGCGAUGCAAGUCGCAUGUGAAAAACCAGGGCUCAACCCUGGGGGGUCAUGCGAAACUGCAUAGCUUGAGUGCAGUAGAGGGAAGCGGAAUUCCUGGUGUAGCGGUAAAAUGCGUAGAGAUCAGGAGGAACACCGGUGGCGAAGGCGGCUUUCUGGGCUGCAACUGACGCUGAGGCGCGAAAGCGUGGGGAGCAAACAGG
RNAcentral lists this ribosomal RNA (253 nucleotides) under uncultured bacterium. Its description in RNAcentral is "partial 16S ribosomal RNA". It matches the Rfam family "Bacterial small subunit ribosomal RNA", at positions 524 to 776 of the family's 1533-position model. The record is from RNAcentral.